GCCAGUGUGGUAUAGUGGUUUGAGUGUUGGACUACAACUCCGGAGAGCAAGGUUUGAUUCUUAGCUUGGCCA
RNAcentral lists this transfer RNA (72 nucleotides) under Phrynosoma platyrhinos (Desert horned lizard). Its description in RNAcentral is "tRNA-OTHER". The record is from RNAcentral. Lineage: Eukaryota; Metazoa; Chordata; Lepidosauria; Squamata; Phrynosomatidae.